AACACAUGCAAGUCGAGCGGCAGCACGGGUACUUGUACCUGGUGGUGAGCGGCGGACGGGUGAGUAAUGCCUAGGAAUCUGCCUGGUAGUGGGGGAUAACGCUCGGAAACGGACGCUAAUACCGCAUACGUCCUACGGGAGAAAGCAGGGGACCUUCGGGCCUUGCGCUAUCAGAUGAGCCUAGGUCGGAUUAGCUAGUUGGUGGGGUAAUGGCUCACCAAGGCGACGAUCCGUAACUGGUCUGAGAGGAUGAUCAGUCACACUGGAACUGAGACACGGUCCAUACUCCUACGGGAGGCAGCAGUGGGGAAUAUUGGACAAUGGGCGAAAGCCUGAUCCAUCCAUGCCCCGUGUGUGAAGAACGUCUUCCGAUUGUAUAGCACUUU
RNAcentral lists this ribosomal RNA (386 nucleotides) under uncultured bacterium. Its description in RNAcentral is "bacterial SSU rRNA". It matches the Rfam family "Bacterial small subunit ribosomal RNA", at positions 50 to 436 of the family's 1533-position model. The record is from RNAcentral.